GCCGGCAUAGCUCAGCGGUAGAGCAGCGGUUUUGUAAACCGAAGGUCGGGAGUUCAAUCCUCUCUGCCGGCACCG
Molecule: transfer RNA, 75 nt
Filed under: Rhizobiales bacterium 64-17
Lineage: Bacteria; Pseudomonadati; Pseudomonadota; Alphaproteobacteria; Hyphomicrobiales
Description: tRNA-Thr
Rfam family: tRNA
About the family: Transfer RNA (tRNA) molecules are approximately 80 nucleotides in length.
Source: RNAcentral